UCCCUGGUGGCUCAGUGGGUUAAGAGUCCUGCACUGUCGCUGCUGUAGCACAGGUUUGUUCCCUGGCCUGGGAA
RNAcentral lists this transfer RNA (74 nucleotides) under Sus scrofa (pig). It matches the Rfam family "tRNA". From Rfam's summary of the family: Transfer RNA (tRNA) molecules are approximately 80 nucleotides in length. Their secondary structure includes four short double-helical elements and three loops (D, anti-codon, and T loops). Lineage: Eukaryota; Metazoa; Chordata; Mammalia; Artiodactyla; Suidae. The record is from Rfam by way of RNAcentral.